CCUACGGGAGGCAGCAGUGGGGAAUCUUGCGCAAUGGGCGAAAGCCUGACGCAGCAACGCCGCGUGCGGGAAGAAGGCUUUCGGGCUGUAAACCGCUUUCAGCAGGAACGAAAAUGACGGUACCUGCAGAAGAAGGAGCGGCCAACUAUGUGCCAGCAGCCGCGGUGAUACAUAGGCUUCAAGCGUUGUCCGGAUUUAUUGGGCGUAAAGAGUUCGUAGGCGGUCGAGUAAGUCGGGUGUGAAAAUUCUGGGCUCAACCCAGAGACGCCACCCGAUACUGCUUGACUUGAGUUCGAUAGGGGAGUGGGGAAUUCCUAGUGUAGCGGUGAAAUGCGCAGAUAUUAGGAGGAACACCGGUGGCGAAGGCGCCACUCUGGAUCGAUACUGACGCUGAGGAACGAAAGCAUGGGUAGCAAACAGGAUUAGAUACCCUGGUAGUCCAUGCCGUAAACGGUGGGCACUAGGUGUGGGUUUCUAUUAACGAAAUCCGCGCCGUCGCUAACGCAUUAAGUGCCCCGCCUGGGGAGUACGGUCGNAAGACUAAAACNCAAAGGAAUUGACGG
This 563-nucleotide ribosomal RNA is filed under the name uncultured bacterium. RNAcentral's name for it is "bacterial SSU rRNA". It matches the Rfam family "Bacterial small subunit ribosomal RNA", at positions 338 to 916 of the family's 1533-position model. The record is from RNAcentral.